GACUGGGUACUAUGCAACUUUAGAGCCGACUAACUCCGCCAGGUCUGGAAGGAAGCAACGGUCGUCAGGAAUCGGGUGUGCCGUAGAUUGCCUAGUCUUU
RNAcentral lists this signal recognition particle RNA (100 nucleotides) under Puniceicoccales bacterium. RNAcentral's name for it is "signal recognition particle sRNA small type". It matches the Rfam family "Bacterial small signal recognition particle RNA". Rfam says of the family: The signal recognition particle (SRP) is a universally conserved ribonucleoprotein involved in the co-translational targeting of proteins to membranes. Archaeal SRP consists of a 7S RNA and homologues of the eukaryotic SRP19 and SRP54 proteins. In most bacteria, the SRP consists of a 4.5S RNA and the Ffh protein (a homologue of the eukaryotic SRP54 protein). Lineage: Bacteria; Pseudomonadati; Verrucomicrobiota; Opitutia; Puniceicoccales. The record is from RNAcentral.